RNAcentral lists this ribosomal RNA (433 nucleotides) under uncultured bacterium. RNAcentral's name for it is "partial 16S ribosomal RNA". It matches the Rfam family "Bacterial small subunit ribosomal RNA", at positions 29 to 507 of the family's 1533-position model. The record is from RNAcentral.
AACGAACGCUGGCGGCAUGCCUAACACAUGCAAGUCGAACGAGACCUUCGGGUCUAGUGGCGCACGGGUGCGUAACGCGUGGGAACCUGCCCUUAGGUUCGGAAUAACUCCCCGAAAGGGGUGCUAAUACCGGAUAAUGUCUUCGGACCAAAGAUUUAUCGCCUUUGGAUGGGCCCGCGUUGGAUUAGCUAGUUGGUAGGGUAAAAGCCUACCAAGGCGACGCUCCAUAGCUGGUCUGAGAGGAUGAUCAGCCACACUGGGACUGAGACACGGCCCAGACUCCUACGGAAGGCAGCAGUGGGUAAUAUUGGACAAUGGGCGAGAGCCUGAUCCAGCAAUGCCGCGUGAGUGAUGAAGGCCUUAGGGUUGUAAAGCUCUUUUACCCGGGAUGAUAAUGACGGUACCGGGAGAAUAAGCUCCGGCUAACUCCGUG